UCGGGAAUAUUGCACAAUGGAGGAAACUCUGAUGCAGUGACGCCGCGUGCAGGAAGAAGGUUUUAGGAUUGUAAACUGCUUUAGACAGGGAAGAAACAAGACAGUACCUGUAGAAUAAGCUCCGGCUAACUACGUGCCAGCAGCCGCGGUAAUACGUAGGGAGCAAGCGUUAUCCGGAUUUAUUGGGUGUAAAGGGUGCGUAGACGGGAAUUUAAGUUAGUUGUGAAAUACCUCGGCUCAACUGAGGAACUGCAACUAAAACUGAAUUUCUUGAGUGCUGGAGAGGAAAGUGGAAUUCCUAGU
RNAcentral lists this ribosomal RNA (303 nucleotides) under uncultured bacterium. RNAcentral describes it as "bacterial SSU rRNA". It matches the Rfam family "Bacterial small subunit ribosomal RNA", at positions 355 to 674 of the family's 1533-position model. The record is from RNAcentral.